UCCCUCAGAUCUGGAUCACAGUUUCUACAUCCGCCGCCGCCCACGCUCGGGCUCUCUCCACCGCUGCACACGCUCGGGCUCUCUCUCCGCCGCACCUCCCGCCCACCGGCCUGUCCACCCCGACCCCACUCCACACAGCCACCGGUGGAACGCUACUCCAUACCGCCGCCGCCUCCACCGGCAGGAGCUUUCUCCGCCGCCCCCUCCGUCUGCAGAUAGUCUCGCAAUCGCCGUCCAAACCCUACCGGCGGCUGCCCUUUUCGUCCGCGCCCAAUCUCAUCUAUCUCCUGGAGGUGCCACCGGCAUGAAGUUCCUGGCAAAAGAAGGCGGCCAAACCUACUAACCAGGAAUACCACUAACCAGCGGGAUCCGAACGAUGUGUGGAUUUCCAAAAAGAGGUCUGACCUAUAGAAGUCUCCGCGGUAAAUAAAGUCUGCCACCUACCUCGCAGCCUGCUCCUUUCGUAGGUACCUCCGCUGCUCUACGACCACGGGAAGCUCCAUGCCUCGGUGAGGUCGGUCCAUCUUUUUUAGGACUAGAUUCUCUCUUACCUAUGCCUACAAGGUGUUUGAUGAAAAUCCAAGCAAGCUGCAAGGAAUAUUCAUCUACGAAAGACAAGAGGACGAGGAACCAUGAAGCCAACAGUUCGGGAUAUUUUGUUUAAUGGUGACUGAAUCAUUGGAGAUGCAUUUUAGCUAUCAUUUUGUAAACCCGCAUGGUUUUUGAGACAAUGAACCAUAUGUUUCCUCUGUAAUUAGUUAGAUUAGUUUAUGGGAAAUUUGGAUGGUCAUUAUGUUAAUAAUGAAUGAACUAUUUAUAUGUGGAAUUAAUUAAUAUGUGUUUUUAUUGUC
Molecule: non-coding RNA, 851 nt
Organism: Triticum urartu
Lineage: Eukaryota; Viridiplantae; Streptophyta; Magnoliopsida; Poales; Poaceae
Source: RefSeq, a predicted model, not a curated record